AGACAAGGGCAGAGGUCCAGGAAAGAUCAGGACAGAGGAACUGGAGCAGAAAAUCAACAAGGUGCAACUGCUCUAGCCUGGAGCAUCUUUCUCCCACAGGAAGAACAAAAGUCAAAGCCUGUGAUUCAAUUCUGUUCAGAAACCAUAACCCUAGGGCUCAGGCUCAGGGCCCAUGCUGUCCUGUUUAUUCCUGCUGGCACGUCCCAAGCCCCGGGUGAGGGAGCUCCACGGUCUGAAGUGUUAGUAGAGUCAGAUGUGCUCAGUGGAAACAGUCUGGCUGACUCACAACAGAUUCCCAGCUCCUUUGGCUCGCCUCCAGAAAUCACGUCUGGUCGGCUAGGAGUUCUGCAACAGAUCUGAUAGUCGCUGACUUGGAGAACUUGUUUCUUCCUGAAUGGAUGUGUGAAACUCAACAGUCCUUGAUUCCCCACCCGUGAAGACAAUUGGCAGUGAAUGGUCUUGCCCUUUCAUUAUAGAUGGUGACAGUGUGGGCCAGUUGUGGCAUUUGGGCCACAUAUCAAACGUAAGCAACUCCUGGAAGUCAGAUACAAUAUUGUUUUCUUUGCCCUCCUUACAAGCAAGUGCUCAGAGCCGUAAUUACUCCUGAUGGCAGGUGGCAGGUCUACAUCACACCUUGACAUUAGCUUUUAGCUAUUUUUUUUUUUAUAACCGCCAGUGUGCUCAGUCAAAUACCUGUCUGUCAUCCCAAUCAGACAGGUCUUAAUGUCUCUGCAUUACAGAGGAGGACCUCGGUUGCCUUCCAGCCCGUUUAUUAUGGUCCCACUGUAGCAUUUUAUCACACGUUCCUCACACACAGCCUCCUCUUCACCACCAUGGAAAUCUUCCAAGUUGGCAGCUUUAGUGUCUACUGCCAUUAAUCUUCACUAGGCUGGGACCACGGGGAAAGGAUGAUUUAUUGCAAUUACCUGUUAUAGUGCAGAGCUCAGGUGAGCUGGGCUCACACGCGUUUAGUGGGCUCUUUCCCAUUCUACCUCAGCCAAGGAGUAAAAAAAAAAAAAAAAAGUGUCUGCUGUUUCUAGGUAGAGCUGCCUUCAUUCAGCCCCUCGAAUGUUAGUUAAUUAAUGAGGAAGUGGAGAAAUAGAUGUAGAUAGUGCUAGGGUUAUGCGUUUACUUGGUGACGGCUGGCUGUUCAAAGGCAGAACUGACAUUGACGUGUGACAGUCCGUUUAAUUUCUUUGUUGUUUCGGCAUUUUGAGAAACAUCCAGAGGAAAUUCGAAACUGCACCCUUACCUGACACUUCCUGCGCCAUCUGUUCCAGGUGAUUAAAACCAAUCUGCAUAUAGCCUUGUGUUUCACUUCC
This is a long non-coding RNA of Acomys russatus (golden spiny mouse), 1322 nucleotides long. RefSeq lists it as uncharacterized. The transcript is spliced from 3 exons. The record is from RefSeq and is a predicted model, not a curated record. Lineage: Eukaryota; Metazoa; Chordata; Mammalia; Rodentia; Muridae.